AGACCCGAAACCCGGUGAUCUAGCCAUGGGCAGGUUGAAGGUUGGGUAACACUAACUGGAGGACCGAACCGACUAAUGUUGAAAAAUUAGCGGAUGACCUGUGGCUGGGGGUGAAAGGCCAAUCAAACCGGGAGAUAGCUGGUUCUCCCCGAAAGCUAUUUAGGUAGCGCCUCGUGAAUUCAUCUCCGGGGGUAGAGCACUGUUUCGGCUAGGGGGCCAUCCCGGCUUACCAACCCGAUGCAAACUGCGAAUACCGGAGAAUGUUAUCACGGGAGACACACGGCGGGUGCUAACGUCCGUCGUGAAGAGGGAAACAACCCAGACCGCCAGCUAAGGUCCCAAAGUCAUGGUUAAGUGGGAAACGAUGUGGGAAGGCCCAGACAGCCAGGAUGUUGGCUUAGAAGCAGCCAUCAUUUAAAGAAAGCGUAAUAGCUCACUGGUCGAGUCGGCCUGCGCGGAAGAUGUAACGGGGCUAAACCAUGCACCGAAGCUGCGGCAGCGACGCUUAUGCGUUGUUGGGUAGGGGAGCGUUCUGUAAGCCUGCGAAGGUGGCCUGUGAGGGUUGCUGGAGGUAU
RNAcentral lists this ribosomal RNA (575 nucleotides) under Salmonella enterica subsp. enterica serovar Enteritidis. RNAcentral's name for it is "partial 23S ribosomal RNA". It matches the Rfam family "Bacterial large subunit ribosomal RNA", at positions 711 to 1282 of the family's 2925-position model. Lineage: Bacteria; Pseudomonadati; Pseudomonadota; Gammaproteobacteria; Enterobacterales; Enterobacteriaceae. The record is from RNAcentral.